GUAUAGACCCGAAACCCGGUGAUCUAGCCAUGGGCAGGUUGAAGGUUGGGUAACACUAACUGGAGGACCGAACCGACUAAUGUUGAAAAAUUAGCGGAUGACCUGUGGCUGGGGGUGAAAGGCCAAUCAAACCGGGAGAUAGCUGGUUCUCCCCGAAAGCUAUUUAGGUAGCGCCUCGUGAAUUCAUCUCCGGGGGUAGAGCACUGUUUCGGCUAGGGGGCCAUCCCGGCUUACCAACCCGAUGCAAACUGCGAAUACCGGAGAAUGUUAUCACGGGAGACACACGGCGGGUGCUAACGUCCGUCGUGAAGAGGGAAACAACCCAGACCGCCAGCUAAGGUCCCAAAGUCAUGGUUAAGUGGGAAACGAUGUGGGAAGGCCCAGACAGCCAGGAUGUUGGCUUAGAAGCAGCCAUCAUUUAAAGAAAGCGUAAUAGCUCACUGGUCGAGUCGGCCUGCGCGGAAGAUGUAACGGGGCUAAACCAUGCACCGAAGCUGCGGCAGCGACACUCAGGUGUUGUUGGGUAGGGGAGCGUUCUGUAAGCCUGCGAAGGUGGCCUGUGAGGGUUGCUGGAGGUAUCAGAAGUGCGAAUGCUGACAUAAGUAACGAUAAAGCGGGUGAAAAGCCCGCUCGCCGGAAGACCAAGGGUUCCUGUCCAACGUUAAUCGGGGCAGGGUGAGUCGACCCCUAAGGCGAGGCCGAAAGGCGUAGUCGAUGGGAAACGGGUUAAUAUUCCCGUACUUGGUGUUACUGCGAAGGGGGGACGGAGAAGGCUAUGUUGGCCGGGCGACGGUUGUCCCGGUUUAAGCGUGUAGGUGUGUGUUCCAGGUAAAUCCGGUUCACUUUAACACUGAGGCGUGAUGACGAGGCACUACGGUGCUGAAGCAACAAAUGCCCUGCUUCCAGGAAAAGCCUCUAAGCAUCAGGUAACAUCAAAUCGUACCCCAAACCGACACAGGUGGUCAGGUAGAGAAUACCAAGGCGCUUGAGAGAACUCGGGUGAAGGAACUAGGCAAAAUGGUGCCGUAACUUCGGGAGAAGGCACGCUGACACGUAGGUGAAGUGAUUUACUCAUGGAGCUGAAGUCAGUCGAAGAUACCAGCUGGCUGCAACUGUUUAUUAAAAACACAGCACUGUGCAAACACGAAAGUGGACGUAUACGGUGUGACGCCUGCCCGGUGCCGGAAGGUUAAUUGAUGGGGUCAGCGCAAGCGAAGCUCCUGAUCGAAGCCCCGGUAAACGGCGGCCGUAACUAUAACGGUCCUAAGGUAGCGAAAUUCCUUGUCGGGUAAGUUCCGACCUGCACGAAUGGCGUAAUGAUGGCCAGGCUGUCUCCACCCGAGACUCAGUGAAAUUGAACUCGCUGUGAAGAUGCAGUGUACCCGCGGCAAGACGGAAAGACCCCGUGAACCUUUACUAUAGCUUGACACUGAACAUUGAGCCUUGAUGUGUAGGAUAGGUGGGAGGCUUUGAAGUGUGG
RNAcentral lists this ribosomal RNA (1480 nucleotides) under Salmonella enterica. RNAcentral describes it as "partial 23S ribosomal RNA". It matches the Rfam family "Bacterial large subunit ribosomal RNA", at positions 707 to 2167 of the family's 2925-position model. The record is from RNAcentral. Lineage: Bacteria; Pseudomonadati; Pseudomonadota; Gammaproteobacteria; Enterobacterales; Enterobacteriaceae.